RNAcentral lists this ribosomal RNA (1095 nucleotides) under Escherichia coli. RNAcentral's name for it is "partial 23S ribosomal RNA". It matches the Rfam family "Bacterial large subunit ribosomal RNA", at positions 232 to 1365 of the family's 2925-position model. Lineage: Bacteria; Pseudomonadati; Pseudomonadota; Gammaproteobacteria; Enterobacterales; Enterobacteriaceae. The record is from RNAcentral.
AGAUUCCCCCAGUAGCGGCGAGCGAACGGGGAGGAGCCCAGAGCCUGAAUCAGUGUGUGUGUUAGUGGAAGCGUCUGGAAAGGCGCGCGAUACAGGGUGACAGCCCCGUACACAAAAAUACACAUAUUGUGAGCUCGAUGAGUAGGGCGGGACACGUGGUAUCCUGUCUGAAUAUGGGGGGACCAUCCUCCAAGGCUAAAUACUCCUGACUGACCGAUAGUGAACCAGUACCGUGAGGGAAAGGCGAAAAGAACCCCGGCGAGGGGAGUGAAAAAGAACCUGAAACCGUGUACGUACAAGCAGUGGGAGCACGCUUAGGCGUGUGACUGCGUACCUUUUGUAUAAUGGGUCAGCGACUUAUAUUCUGUAGCAAGGUUAACCGAAUAGGGGAGCCGAAGGGAAACCGAGUCUUAACUGGGCGUUAAGUUGCAGGGUAUAGACCCGAAACCCGGUGAUCUAGCCAUGGGCAGGUUGAAGGUUGGGUAACACUAACUGGAGGACCGAACCGACUAAUGUUGAAAAAUUAGCGGAUGACUUGUGGCUGGGGGUGAAAGGCCAAUCAAACCGGGAGAUAGCUGGUUCUCCCCGAAAGCUAUUUAGGUAGCGCCUCGUGAAUUCAUCUCCGGGGGUAGAGCACUGUUUCGGCAAGGGGGUCAUCCCGACUUACCAACCCGAUGCAAACUGCGAAUACCGGAGAAUGUUAUCACGGGAGACACACGGCGGGUGCUAACGUCCGUCGUGAAGAGGGAAACAACCCAGACCGCCAGCUAAGGUCCCAAAGUCAUGGUUAAGUGGGAAACGAUGUGGGAAGGCCCAGACAGCCAGGAUGUUGGCUUAGAAGCAGCCAUCAUUUAAAGAAAGCGUAAUAGCUCACUGGUCGAGUCGGCCUGCGCGGAAGAUGUAACGGGGCUAAACCAUGCACCGAAGCUGCGGCAGCGACGCUUAUGCGUUGUUGGGUAGGGGAGCGUUCUGUAAGCCUGUGAAGGUGUGCUGUGAGGCAUGCUGGAGGUAUCAGAAGUGCGAAUGCUGACAUAAGUAACGAUAAAGCGGGUGAAAAGCCCGCUCGCCGGAAGACCAAGGGUUCCUGUCCAACGU